CUACGGGAGGCAGCAGUGAGGAAUAUUGGUCAAUGGGCGGGAGCCUGAACCAGCCAAAUCGCGUGAAGGAUGAAGGUAUUAUGUAUUGUAAACUUCUUUUACAGGGGAAUAAAGUGCGGGACGUGUCCCGUUUUGUAUGUACCCUGAGAAUAAGGAUCGGCUAACUCCGUGCCAGCAGCCGCGGUAAU
RNAcentral lists this ribosomal RNA (188 nucleotides) under uncultured bacterium. Its description in RNAcentral is "partial 16S ribosomal RNA". It matches the Rfam family "Bacterial small subunit ribosomal RNA", at positions 339 to 524 of the family's 1533-position model. The record is from RNAcentral.